AUGCACGCUGGCGGCGUGCCUAAUACCUGCAAGUCGAGCGAACGGACGAGAAGCUUGCUUCUCUGAUGUUAGCGGCGGACGGGUGAGUAACACGUGGAUAACCUACCUAUAAGACUGGGAUAACUUCGGGAAACCGGAGCUAAUACCGGAUAAUAUUUUGAACCGCAUGGUUCAAAAGUGAAAGACGGUCUUGCUGUCACUUAUAGAUGGAUCCGCGCUGCAUUAGCUAGUUGGUAAGGUAACGGCUUACCAAGGCAACGAUGCAUAGCCGACCUGAGAGGGUGAUCGGCCACACUGGAACUGAGACACGGUCCAGACUCCUACGGGAGGCAGCAGUAGGGAAUCUUCCGCAAUGGGCGAAAGCCUGACGGAGCAACGCCGCGUGAGUGAUGAAGGUCUUCGGAUCGUAAAACUCUGUUAUUAGGGAAGAACAUAUGUGUAAGUAACUGUGCACAUCUUGACGGUACCUAAUCAGAAAGCCACGGCUAACUACGUG
Molecule: ribosomal RNA, 496 nt
Filed under: uncultured bacterium
Lineage: Bacteria
Description: partial 16S ribosomal RNA
Rfam family: Bacterial small subunit ribosomal RNA
Source: RNAcentral